CUCCCUCUGUAAACUACUCCCUCCGUUCCGAUUUACUCGUCGUGGUUCCGUCCCUCUGUAAAGAGCGUUUAGAUCACUACUUUAGUAUUCUAAACGCUCUUAUAUUAGUUUACGGAGGGAGUAAUUAAGUUCAAUAGUCAAUACCAUCUGUCUAGAUUGACCACUCAAUCAUGUUUACAUGUUGGGAAGAUUCCAGUAGUUCUUAGCACUAGUUUUCAGAAUGGAGCAAUAUUAUAUGCUUCAUAAGUAAAUAACAUGACCAGCAUGGAGUCAAUUUUCUGAAAACUAGAAUAUCGAAUUUUGCUUCACAUAGCUAGCUUCAGGAGUUUGUUGAUAAUCUAGAGUCCCCACUCAUCAAGCAAUCCAAGCGAAAUAUCGAAUUGAGCUAUGCAAGGCAUGGUUCAUCUAAGUUCGAAUUGCUUUGUUAAUUAGUAAUGAUAUCGUCAAGCAUAAGUAUUCCAUGAUCACUUUUCAGUUUGACCUGUGUUUUAGUCCUACUUGAUUUAGUCCAUUUAUUGUCGUUUGCUGGAUGCAUCUCAGAUUCUGAGGUGUAUCUGAGCUUAACUAAGAAGCUUCAUUCGCGUGCAUAAAGUUGAAUAAUCCUCGGAUCCAACUGUUUCUAGAAAUCGAUAGUGCAGGAGAGUGAGAUUAAUUGCUUCUCGUGAGGGUGAUUUCUUAAGUACCUUCAUCUGAUCAUAUAAUUAGAGUUGAUGGUUGCAGAGCUGGCUGCAGAAGCUGAGUAAUUUUAUUUUGAUGCGCCGCAAGGUUGAAGGUUGAAGUAGGAUGUCUGCGAGAUCAGAGUGUGCCGCCAACUUUGUUUCCUUUGGGUAGUUGCCCUGAUGGGUUAUGUGCUCCGAUCAGGUAAAGAACCCUCUGCUCAGAAUACCAGGACCUGUGCAAAAGGGGUUUUGUCAUGUGCAGCAUGAGAUUUGACCCUAAGACUGGGCAACAUAUGCCUUCGUCAACCGGAAAACAAAUACUGUGCACGACAAAAUGAUAAAGCAAAGGCAGGAGUCUGCCAAAUGGUGGGAAGAACCUAUUAACAAGGCAUUCAUAAGGCUCUCGAGAAGAUGAUGAAGCCGGCUACUGGCUAUGUGGCGGGUGUCGGUACUGGGGCGACGGGACACAUAAUUUUCCAGCACCGGUAUCAACUAUAAACCGGGUGAGACGUGGGUGAUGAAGAAAUCCUUGGCGUACGAAGAAACUCCCCAAUCAGACAAGGGAGAAAAGGGUCCUAAAUGGUGGGAUAUUCAUAUCCCUGAUCACGCCAUAUUACGAUGUGUACAAAGACCUCUCAACCGAAAUGACGAAUCUGCAUGACCACAUGAAAUGCAAAUAAGGAGGACUACCUACUCAUGCCCUACCUUGUAGUGUAAGUCCUAUUCGUGCCCUACCUUAGGGCAUCUUCAACGCUAACCUGUAUAUUUGUACUGUAAAUGUCCAUUUUUACGUCCGGACAGAGGUCCGGACACUGAUACAGAAGCGUGCAAUUCAACGCUAGAUGCAAACAUC
Aegilops tauschii subsp. strangulata is the source of this 1512-nucleotide non-coding RNA. Lineage: Eukaryota; Viridiplantae; Streptophyta; Magnoliopsida; Poales; Poaceae. The record is from RefSeq and is a predicted model, not a curated record.